Non-coding RNA from Phrynosoma platyrhinos (Desert horned lizard), 72 nucleotides. The record is from the annotation of a GenBank genome assembly. Lineage: Eukaryota; Metazoa; Chordata; Lepidosauria; Squamata; Phrynosomatidae.
UACUGAGUGGUGCCGUGGUUUGAGUGCUGGACUAUGGCUCUGGAGACCCAGGUUCAAAUCCUCACUCAGCCA